RNAcentral lists this ribosomal RNA (897 nucleotides) under Fusarium culmorum. Its description in RNAcentral is "LSU rRNA". It matches the Rfam family "Eukaryotic large subunit ribosomal RNA", at positions 38 to 964 of the family's 3401-position model. Lineage: Eukaryota; Fungi; Ascomycota; Sordariomycetes; Hypocreales; Nectriaceae. The record is from RNAcentral.
GCAUAUCAAUAAGCGGAGGAAAAGAAACCAACAGGGAUUGCCCUAGUAACGGCGAGUGAAGCGGCAACAGCUCAAAAUUUGAAAUCUGGCUUUCGGGCCCGAGUUGUAAUUUGUAGAGGAUGAUUUUGAUGCGGUGCCUUCCGAGUUCCCUGGAACGGGACGCCAUAGAGGGUGAGAGCCCCGUCUGGUUGGAUGCCAAAUCUCUGUAAAUCUCCUUCGACGAGUCGAGUAGUUUGGGAAUGCUGCUCUAAAUGGGAGGUAUAUGUCUUCUAAAGCUAAAUACCGGCCAGAGACCGAUAGCGCACAAGUAGAGUGAUCGAAAGAUGAAAAGCACUUUGAAAAGAGAGUUAAAAAGUACGUGAAAUUGUUGAAAGGGAAGCGUUUAUGACCAGACUUGGGCUUGGUUAAUCAUCUGGGGUUCUCUCCAGUGCACUUUUCCAGCCCAGGCCAGCAUCAGUUUUCGCCGGGGGAUAAAGACUUCGGGAAUGUGGCUCCCCUCGGGGAGUGUUAUAGCCCGUUGUGUAAUACCCUGGUGGGGACUGAGGUUCGCGCUUCUGCAAGGAUGCUGGCGUAAUGGUCAUCAACGACCCGUCUUGAAACACGGACCAAGGAGUCGUCUUCGUAUGCGAGUGUUCGGGUGUCAAACCCCUACGCGUAAUGAAAGUGAACGCAGGUGAGAGCUUCGGCGCAUCAUCGACCGAUCCUGAUGUUCUCGGAUGGAUUUGAGUAAGAGCAUACGGGGCCGGACCCGAAAGAAGGUGAACUAUGCCUGUGUAGGGUGAAGCCAGAGGAAACUCUGGUGGAGGCUCGCAGCGGUUCUGACGUGCAAAUCGAUCGUCAAACAUGGGCAUGGGGGCGAAAGACUAAUCGAACCUUCUAGUAGCUGGUUUCCGCCGA